This 277-nucleotide ribosomal RNA is filed under the name uncultured bacterium. RNAcentral describes it as "partial 16S ribosomal RNA". It matches the Rfam family "Bacterial small subunit ribosomal RNA", at positions 337 to 628 of the family's 1533-position model. The record is from RNAcentral.
UCCUACGGGGGGCAGCAGUGGGGAAUAUUGGGCAAUGGGCGCAAGCCUGACCCAGCAACGCCGCGUGAAGGAAGAAGGCUUUCGGGUUGUAAACUUCUUUUCUUGGGGACGAAGAAAGUGACGGUACCCAAGGAAUAAGCCACGGCUAACUACGUGCCAGCAGCCGCGGUAAUACGUAGGGGGCAAGCGUUAUCCGGAUUUACUGGGUGUAAAGGGAGCGUAGACGGCUGUGCAAGUCUGAAGUGAAAUGCCGGGGCCCAACCCCGGAACUGCUUUG